Long non-coding RNA from Oncorhynchus kisutch (coho salmon), 1939 nucleotides. Lineage: Eukaryota; Metazoa; Chordata; Actinopteri; Salmoniformes; Salmonidae. The record is from Ensembl.
AUGUACAUAUCAAAUACAUUGUGUGUUGCCUCAGACCCCAAUCCAAGAUUUGGUAGCACAAUCCCUCUCCACAACGCAUCCAAGAGCCCUUCUCUACUAUGGAGGACAGAAUAUCACACAUUCACGUUAUAUCUGCUAUUUCCAAGUUGUGUUCCUGAAUCACGCAGUAUGUAUUUCAGAGUGUUCACUCUGACGAAGAGAAGAAGAAGAGAUGUGCUGGGAACCUCCUUCCUCUCCUUCCUCUCCCUCCUCUCCCUCCUCCUCCGUCCUACCAGGAAUGGACCAGGAUCGACCCAGAUGAUUCAGAGGUCCCUAGCCUGGCCCUGGAAGGGCUUGGGCUGAGGACCAUACCCUCUGCUGGGUAGGUAGUUUAGGCUACCUCCACUAAUCUAUCACAGGUCCCAGGUCUGCUGGUGUUGUCUUUCCAUCUCAUAUGGUUAUUGUCAUGUUGUUCUUCUUCAGAAACACAGAAAUAUGUAGCAAGACUCCUGAGCCUUUAUCCAUAGAAGAUGUGUGUCAACGCAACCCUUCAGGGGUAAGAGAUUUCUCUUGACAGGCUAUAGGGUUACUGCAGUUUGGAGAAUGUUUCAGAGUUUAACACAUCAGUAACCUUAACCCUUAAAGCCUGCAGGUUAUAAUGCAUCGUAAUACAUGUUUAACCAAUGCAUGUUUCAUUUCUCUUGUUUAGGUGAUAAAUUGUGGAUAUAAGCUUUGGAGGAAUUAUGACGAGGAGACAGCCUAUUGAGUAUCUUCGUUUGAUGUGAAGGCCACAAGGCUACACCAAUCACCAAUCACCAAUACCAUGAAUAAGAUAAAAAGAUGAGAUUAUGUAUUAUUUUGACACCAGUUCACUUAGAGACCAGUUCACUUAGAGACCAGUUCACUUAGAGACCAGUUCACAGAGACCAGUUCACAGAGACCAGUUCACAGAGACCAGUUCACUUAGAGACCAGUUCACUUAGAGACCAGUUCACUGAGAGACCAGUUCACUGAGAGACCAGUUCACUGAGAGACCAGUUCACUGAGAGACCAGUUCACUUAGAGACCAGUUCACUGAGAGACCAGUUCACUUAGAGACCAGUUCACUUAGAGACCAGUUCACUUAGAGACCAGUUCACUGAGAGACCAGUUCACUGAGAGACCAGUUCACUUAGAGACCAGUUCACUUAGAGACCAGUUCACUUAGAGACCAGUUCACUUAGAGACCAGUUCACUGAGAGACCAGUUCACUGAGAGACCAGUUCACUCUGGAUUCCUAUUGUGUUUGUCUUCGACUAUAUCAACAACAACAAAACGAUAUAGAUGGUAAAAUUACAAAUGUUUUUACAAAUAAAAUGUAUUAUUAGCAGUAUGUGUUUUACUUAUAGAAUGUAUCAUCGACAUUAGGAGUAAAGAACUAACGGCAAAUAACGAAUAGAAAAGCAAUUCUUUAACUACCAAUAAUUUUUAAAGAGAAAUAUAACCCAUGUGUAUUUAGAACGACACUUUCUACUCACUCGAUUGAUUCUGACUGAAUGAUUUGAGCUUAUAAUAAAACUUGCUAAGAAGUUGUUAUUUUAACGGACCUGUUGCUAUGGUUAUUGUUUAAUCGUUAAGGCCUGGACUGCAUUUCCUGUGUUUUGUCACCUACCUGACUACAUCCCAGGACUCGAAAAUAACAUCUUUAAUAAUAGGCCUCACCUUUAAAUCAUGGCCUUCGUGGGAAAUGGUUUGUAAAUGAUUUCAGUCAGGACUAUUAUUGACGAGGAAAAGCAGAAAAAUGUUUUACAUAAUGUGGUAAAAUAUAAACUGCUUUAUUGGAGGAAAGCGUCCAAGUAUGUAUUUUGCAGAGAAAGUUAAAAAACAAAACCAAAUAUAAUUAAAAUAUCUUCUAUCUGGUUAGAGCCUGAGCAUCAGAAAUCAAUGUAUUUAUGCAUUAGACUAUAGGUCUGAGUCCUAC